UGGCUCAGAUUGAACGCUGGCGGCAGGCCUAACACAUGCAAGUCGAACGGUAACAGGAAGUGCUUGCACUUCGCUGACGAGUGGCGGACGGGUGAGUAAUGCUUGGGAACUUGCCUUUGCGAGGGGGAUAACAGUUGGAAACGACUGCUAAUACCGCAUAAUGUCUACGGACCAAACGGGGCUUAGGCUCCGGCGCAAAGAGAGGCCCAAGUGAGAUUAGCUAGUUGGUAAGGUAAAGGCUUACCAAGGCAACGAUCUCUAGCUGUUCUGAGAGGAAGAUCAGCCACACUGGGACUGAGACACGGCCCAGACUCCUACGGGAGGCAGCAGUGGGGAAUAUUGCACAAUGGGGGAAACCCUGAUGCAGCCAUGCCGCGUGUGUGAAGAAGGCCUUCGGGUUGUAAAGCACUUUCAGUUGUGAGGAAAAGUUAGUAGUUAAUACC
RNAcentral lists this ribosomal RNA (443 nucleotides) under HMWdDNA-degrading marine bacterium 16. RNAcentral describes it as "bacterial SSU rRNA". It matches the Rfam family "Bacterial small subunit ribosomal RNA", at positions 20 to 468 of the family's 1533-position model. RNAcentral also lists the same sequence under 2 other names. The record is from RNAcentral.